Molecule: unclassified non-coding RNA, 222 nt
Organism: Fukomys damarensis (Damara mole-rat)
Lineage: Eukaryota; Metazoa; Chordata; Mammalia; Rodentia; Bathyergidae
Gene: 7SK
Rfam family: 7SK RNA
About the family: 7SK was discovered as an abundant small nuclear RNA in the mid-70s but a possible function has only recently been suggested.
Source: Ensembl
UGUAAGCAGGAUAUGAGGGCAACCCAUUGAGCACCAGGGUUGAAUUCGGCUAGGUUGGCUAGGCGAGUGGGUGUACCUUUCCUCCCUUACCACUCUGUGUGUGUCCCUCCAGAAGCUGCAGGCUUGGUGGACAAGGACAACCACCCCCAUAGAGGAACCUCCAAACAAGCUCUUAAGGUCCAUUUAAGGAACAAUUUCCAGACAGCCAUGGUUGGCACAUUU